AUUUAGCCCUGAUGGAAGCGGCAUCCCCGUAACGAAGUGGAGGGAUACAGCGGACAGCAGGAAAUAGC
This 68-nucleotide small RNA is filed under the name Flavobacterium fontis. RNAcentral describes it as "Flavo-1 RNA". It matches the Rfam family "Flavo-1 RNA". Lineage: Bacteria; Pseudomonadati; Bacteroidota; Flavobacteriia; Flavobacteriales; Flavobacteriaceae. The record is from Rfam by way of RNAcentral.